Molecule: non-coding RNA, 731 nt
Filed under: Alectorobius peropteryx
Lineage: Eukaryota; Metazoa; Arthropoda; Arachnida; Ixodida; Argasidae
Source: RNAcentral
AUGCUCCAAACUUAUUUUCAAAAAAAGUUUGGAGAUAAGGGAUAUUAUUGUGGUACUAUAAUUUUACCAGUAAAAAGCUCUUUAUGUUAAAAAUUUGAUAAUAUAUUAUAGAAGAUAAUUUUUCUUUUUUUAAAUUUUAAAAAUAGGCUUUUAACAAAUUCUGGCGAAGCCUGUGCCAGCCGCCGCGGUUAUACAAGCAGGAUGUUAUAUUUUUUUUAAGUAAAUGUUAAUUUAUGUUAGUGUUAAUUAAUUAGGUGAAAUUAUUAAUUAGGAUAGGUUAAUAGGAUUUUUGAAAUUUAUAUUUAAAAUUAGGAUUAGAUACCCUGUUAUUAUAGAAUGAUAUUUAGAGAGUAAUUUUAGGUUUAUAAAAUUUAAAUAUAAUGGCGGUAUUUUAAGCUUUUUAGAGGAAUUUAUUCUUUAAUUGAUAAGACUCAAGGAUCUUUCUUAAUUUGGUUAGGGCAAUUUGUAUAUCGCUAUCAUCUUAUUAUAUUGGAAGAUUAUUAUAGAGAGAAUAUUUAAUUAAAAUGUUAGGUCAAAAUGCAGUGUAAAAUUAAGUGUGAAAUAAAUUACAGUGAUUUAUAUUGAUUAUAAAGGAAGAUAAAGUUAGGAUUUAAUAGUAAAUUUUAAUUAUAAUGUAAAGUUGAAAUAAGUUCUAGGAUAUGCACAUAUCGCCCGUCGCUCUCAUGUGUGAGAUAAGUCGUAACAAAGUAAAAGUACCGGAAGGUGUUUUU